CAGCAGCCACGGGAAUACAGAGGGUGCAAGCGUUAAUCGGAUUUACUGGGCGUAAAGGGCGCGUAGGUGGUUAUUUAAGUGAGAUGUGAAAUCCCCGGGCUUAACCUGGGAACUGCAUCUUAUACUGGGUAACUGGAGUGCAAGAGAGGGUAGUGGAAUUUCCGGUGUAGCGGUGAAAUGCGUAGAUAUCGGAAGGAACACCUGAGGCGAAAGCGGCUCACUUGACCAUAACUGACGCUGAGGCGCGAAAGCUAGGGGAGCAAACAGGAUUAGAUACCCCUGUAGUCCCUGUCUCUUAUAC
RNAcentral lists this ribosomal RNA (301 nucleotides) under uncultured bacterium. Its description in RNAcentral is "partial 16S ribosomal RNA". It matches the Rfam family "Bacterial small subunit ribosomal RNA", at positions 509 to 807 of the family's 1533-position model. The record is from RNAcentral.